RNAcentral lists this long non-coding RNA (598 nucleotides) under Cottoperca gobio. Its description in RNAcentral is "lncRNA (ENSCGOG00000023816.1)". The record is from RNAcentral. Lineage: Eukaryota; Metazoa; Chordata; Actinopteri; Perciformes; Bovichtidae.
GGAAUACUGUGUGCUCAGGGCCGUCGUGUAGCUCGUGCAGCUCGUGCAGCUCGUGCAACUCUGUUCAGUUUCCCUAACCAGCAGCAGAAGCAGAAACGGGGGUUUGGAUGGAGUCAUUAAUGUCGUACAGUGUGCAGGGUAGGUUGAGUAGAAGCUGCACGUAGGCACUCCUGGGAAGCUGGCGCCCCCUCCCACACCUUCUGCCUUGUGCUGUCAGCCCUCCUGAGUCGAUACAAACCGUAGCCUGGGGCCCGGCCUGGACUCCCCACUGAGGUUCUGGACCACCGCUGGUAGAUCAAAGACCUGCGGAGAACAAUGGAGAGCCUUAUUUAGCCGGCCGUGGUUCACUUUGUCCGGAUGCACCGCCACACCUGCCCACGCUGUCAAUCACGCUCAGCCAUUUCAUGCUGGUUUUAUCUCCCUGUGGUUCCUGUCGUGCUUCCUGUGGAAAAAAGGAGCCUGUCUGCAGCGUGUACACAGCUGGUUGAAAGACAAGACCUCCAGAUUACGCCGCGUCGGCCCCGCCAGACUCGCUGUGGGCUACACACCAGGUGAACACAAUGUUACUGCUGGUGCAGCGGCAGGUCUGCUGCAGGGA